This 568-nucleotide unclassified non-coding RNA is filed under the name Cylindrospermopsis raciborskii LEGE 97047. RNAcentral describes it as "partial contains 16S ribosomal RNA and 16S-23S ribosomal RNA intergenic spacer; longer spacer". The stretch from base 1 to 135 matches the Rfam family "Bacterial small subunit ribosomal RNA", at positions 1399 to 1533 of the family's 1533-position model. Lineage: Bacteria; Bacillati; Cyanobacteriota; Cyanophyceae; Nostocales; Aphanizomenonaceae. The record is from RNAcentral.
ACACCAUGGAAGUUGGUCACGCCCGAAGUCAUUACCCCAACCGAAAGGAGGGGGAUGCCUAAGGUAGGACUGGUGACUGGGGUGAAGUCGUAACAAGGUAGCCGUACCGGAAGGUGUGGCUGGAUCACCUCCUUUUAGGGAGACCUACCCAUUGAAGAAUCGAAAGUCGAAGGCGAAUAGAGAAUCAAAUGGUCUACUCUAGGUCGAUGACGUGAGAUUGUGAAGUCUUUCAAACUAAUAUUUGGUUCGCGGGCUAUUAGCUCAGGUGGUUAGAGCGCACCCCUGAUAAGGGUGAGGUCCCUGGUUCGAGUCCAGGAUGGCCCACCUGGGGGUUUAGCUCAGUUGGUAGAGCGCCUGCUUUGCAAGCAGGAUGUCAGCGGUUCGAGUCCGCUAACCUCCACAUUAGGUAUUAUCAGCAACUAGGAAAGACCUAGACUGCUGGUGAGAACCAGCCAGAACCUUGAAAACUGCAUAUAGAUAGAUAAGAGAGCCGAAAUCGAAAGAUAGAAGUAAGUGAAGAACCAAGUGGUCAAGCUAAUAAGGGCUCAUGGUGGAUACCUAGGCACAC